Molecule: long non-coding RNA, 1669 nt
Organism: Macrobrachium nipponense
Lineage: Eukaryota; Metazoa; Arthropoda; Malacostraca; Decapoda; Palaemonidae
Exons: 5
Source: RefSeq, a predicted model, not a curated record
GAGUUGCUCUCAAAAACUUCCUUCCACCAGAAAAAGCACGAAAGCCUCAGCCAAUGAGAGAAGGCGAUAGAAAAGGAUUCUAAGUCGGGCGUGGUGGAGGGCUCUGAUUGGCAAAACCAAAUCUUUGCUGAAUUCUUGAGCAGUUCUUUGAGAGCCAUAUUGGUGGCAUACUGUUUUGAAGCUGGCCGCUUUUAGGAUUUGUUUCCAUGGAUACAGUUUGCAAUAUCUACUAUCAGAAUCUGAGAAUGAAUCUACGCCGAUUCCACAGUGUUUUGCAGAUGUCAUCUUGUCUUGCAAGCUAUCGGCUCCGUUAAUGUGUUGGGGUAAUACAGCCCUUGGAUCAAAUGCUGAAACCCAUGGAAAGGACUCCGAAACUACACGUGAAGUCAAGAAGCUUGCUCACAAUAAUGUUACAAAAGCCAGUAAUGACAGUUGCCUCAUUCGCGCUGGCUUAUCGUUCAGGGCCUAUGUAGAUGAAUCAUUAAUUCAUUAGUCAAUCAAAAGAAUUGCAUGAAAGCAGCUAGUCUGCAGAGGAAGAGGAUCACCAAAAGAGCGCAUCUUAGAGAGGAGCAGGGUCACCAAAAGAGCGCAUCUGUAGAGGAAGAGGGCAUCUGCAGAGGAAAAGGAUCACCAAAAGAGCGCAUCUGUAAAGGAAGAGGGUCACCGGAAGAGGAAGAGGAUCACCAAAAGAGCGCAUCUGUAGAGGAAGCACAUCUGUAGAGGAAGCGCAUCUGUAGAGGAAGCGCAUCUGUAGAGGAAGCGCAUCUGUAGAGGAAGCGGAUCUGUAGAGGAAGAGGAUCUGUAGAGGAAGAGGAUCACCGGAAGAGAGUCACCGGAAGAGGAUCACCAGAAGAGCGCAUCUGUAGAGGAAGAGGGUCACCAAAAGAGGGCAUCUGUAGAGGAAGAGGAUCACCAAAAGAGCGCAUCUGUAGAGGAAGGUCACUGGAAGAGGAAGAGGAUCACCAACAGAGCGUAUCUGUAGAGAAAGAGGGUCACCGGAAGAGGAAGAGGAUCACCAUAAGAGCGCAUCUGUAGAGGAAGGUCACUAGAAGAGGAAGAGGAUCACCAACAGAGCGCAUCUGUAGAGGAAGAGGGUCACCGGAAGACAGUCACCGGAAGAGGAAAUCUGCAGAGGAAGAGGAUCACCAAAAGAGCGCAUCUGUAGAGGAAGAGGGUCACCGGAAGAGGAACACCAAAAGAGCGCAUCUGUAGAGGAAGAUGAUCACCGGAAGACCGUCACCGGAGGAGGAAAUCUGCAGAGGAAGAGGAUCACCAAAAAAGCGCAUCUGUAGAGAGAGAACAUCACCAAAAGAGCGCAUCUGUAGAGGAAGAGGAUCACCAAAGAGCGCAUCUGUAGAGGAAGAGGGUCACCGGAAGAGGAAAAGGAUCAACAGAAGUGCAACUGCAUGGGAAGAGGAUCAAUAGAACAAGCAUCUGUAAUCAAAUUAUUAUCUGCCGGUAAUUUAAGGCAAUUUUCUAAACUUUAAAACAACUUCAAAUAGUUAUCUAUUUUUAAUUUUUUUGUUUAACAAUACUGUGUAAACUCCCAACGACAGAACAGUCUGGAGUUUUAUGAACUUUAUUCUAAUAGAGAAGUAGCAUUUUGACUAGUUUCAGGAAAUGAGUCCAUUUUUACGUAUACAAAAUAUAAAUAUUGAAGUUAAACACC